UGAAAAUGAUGAUCACACACCUACCUAUAUGUUUUUUCUGGCAUCUCUAAUGUUAGGGCGGGUCAGUUUAAGUACUAUCUGCUCGAUGAAUACAACUCGUGACAAUAUCUGACC
This 114-nucleotide small nucleolar RNA is filed under the name Huiozyma naganishii CBS 8797. Its description in RNAcentral is "Kazachstania naganishii CBS 8797 Small nucleolar RNA snR48". It matches the Rfam family "Small nucleolar RNA snR48". Rfam says of the family: snR48 is a member of the C/D class of snoRNA which contain the C (UGAUGA) and D (CUGA) box motifs. Most of the members of the box C/D family function in directing site-specific 2'-O-methylation of substrate RNAs. Lineage: Eukaryota; Fungi; Ascomycota; Saccharomycetes; Saccharomycetales; Saccharomycetaceae. The record is from Rfam by way of RNAcentral.